GUUCGCGUGGUGAAAUUGGUAAACACAGAAAAUUCAAAAUUUUCCGUUUAAUAAACUUACCGGUUCGAGUCCGGUCGUGAAUA
Molecule: transfer RNA, 83 nt
Filed under: Candidatus Vidania fulgoroideorum
Lineage: Bacteria; Pseudomonadati; Pseudomonadota; Betaproteobacteria
Description: tRNA-Leu
Rfam family: tRNA
About the family: Transfer RNA (tRNA) molecules are approximately 80 nucleotides in length. Their secondary structure includes four short double-helical elements and three loops (D, anti-codon, and T loops).
Source: RNAcentral